This 573-nucleotide small RNA is filed under the name Pan troglodytes (chimpanzee). Its description in RNAcentral is "retained intron". Lineage: Eukaryota; Metazoa; Chordata; Mammalia; Primates; Hominidae. The record is from RNAcentral.
AGCAGAAGAGGAGAGGAGGUUGUGUGGGACAAGUUGCUCCCGACAGAAGGAUGUCGCUGCUGAGCCUGCCCUGGCUGGGCCUCAGACAGGUGGCAAUAUCCCCAUGGCUACUCCUGCUGCUGGUUGUGGGCUCCUGGCUACUCACCCGCAUCCUGGCUUGGACCUAUGCCUUCUAUAACAACUGCCGCCGGCUCCAGUGUUUCCCACAGCCCCCAAAACGGAACUGGUUUUGGGGUCACCUGGGCCUGCUGCCAUUGCACUCAAGGAUGAUCUCUCCAUCAGGUUCCUGAAGCCCUGGCUGGGGGAUGGGCUCCUGCUGAGUGGCGUUGACAAGUGGAGCCGCCACCGUCGGAUGCUGACACCCGCCUUCCAUUUCAACAUCCUGAAGUCCUAUAUAACGAUCUUCAACAAGAGUGCAAACAUCAUGCUUGUGAGUCCCUUGAAGUCUGGGUCCCAGCUGGAGUCUUGGGGUGGAGGGACCAUGGACACAUCUGGUCUGGAAUUUUGGCUCUUCUGGGUGGCACUGGGCCAUUGCUCUUCCUCUCUGAGCCUUGGUUUCCUCAUCUGUAAAAU